UGUGUUAGUGGAAGCGUCUGGAAAGGCGCGCGAUACAGGGUGACAGCCCCGUACACAAAAAUGCACAUGCUGUGAGCUCGAUGAGUAGGGCGGGACACGUGGUAUCCUGUCUGAAUAUGGGGGGACCAUCCUCCAAGGCUAAAUACUCCUGACUGACCGAUAGUGAACCAGUACCGUGAGGGAAAGGCGAAAAGAACCCCGGCGAGGGGAGUGAAAAAGAACCUGAAACCGUGUACGUACAAGCAGUGGGAGCACGCUUAGGCGUGUGACUGCGUACCUUUUGUAUAAUGGGUCAGCGACUUAUAUUCUGUAGCAAGGUUAACCGAAUAGGGGAGCCGAAGGGAAACCGAGUCUUAACUGGGCGUUAAGUUGCAGGGUAUAGACCCGAAACCCGGUGAUCUAGCCAUGGGCAGGUUGAAGGUUGGGUAACACUAACUGGAGGACCGAACCGACUAAUGUUGAAAAAUUAGCGGAUGACUUGUGGCUGGGGGUGAAAGGCCAAUCAAACCGGGAGAUAGCUGGUUCUCCCCGAAAGCUAUUUAGGUAGCGCCUCGUGAAUUCAUCUCCGGGGGUAGAGCACUGUUUCGGCAAGGGGGUCAUCCCGACUUACCAACCCGAUGCAAACUGCGAAUACCGGAGAAUGUUAUCACGGGAGACACACGGCGGGUGCUAACGUCCGUCGUGAAGAGGGAAACAACCCAGACCGCCAGCUAAGGUCCCAAAGUCAUGGUUAAGUGGGAAACGAUGUGGGAAGGCCCAGACAGCCAGGAUGUUGGCUUAGAAGCAGCCAUCAUUUAAAGAAAGCGUAAUAGCUCACUGGUCGAGUCGGCCUGCGCGGAAGAUGUAACGGGGCUAAACCAUGCACCGAAGCUGCGGCAGCGACACUAUGUGUUGUUGGGUAGGGGAGCGUUCUGUAAGCCUGUGAAGGUGUGCUGUGAGGCAUGCUGGAGGUAUCAGAAGUGCGAAUGCUGACAUAAGUAACGAUAAAGCGGGUGAAAAGCCCGCUCGCCGGAAGACCAAGGGUUCCUGUCCAACGUUAAUCGGGGCAGGGUGAGUCGACCCCUAAGGCGAGGCCGAAAGGCGUAGUCGAUGGGAAACAGGUUAAUAUUCCUGUACUUGGUGUUACUGCGAAGGGGGGACGGAGAAGGCUAUGUUGGCCGGGCGACGGUUGUCCCGGUUUAAGCGUGUAGGCUGGUUUUCCAGGCAAAUCCGGAAAAUCAAGGCUGAGGCGUGAUGACGAGGCACUACGGUGCUGAAGCAACAAAUGCCCUGCUUCCAGGAAAAGCCUCUAAGCAUCAGGUAACAUCAAAUCGUACCCCAAACCGACACAGGUGGUCAGGUAGAGAAUACCAAGGCGCUUGAGAGAACUCGGGUGAAGGAACUAGGCAAAAUGGUGCCGUAACUUCGGGAGAAGGCACGCUGAUAUGUAGGUGAGGUCCCUCGCGGAUGGAGCUGAAAUCAGUCGAAGAUACCAGCUGGCUGCAACUGUUUAUUAAAAACACAGCACUGUGCAAACACGAAAGUGGACGUAUACGGUGUGACGCCUGCCCGGUGCCGGAAGGUUAAUUGAUGGGGUUAGCGCAAGCGAAGCUCUUGAUCGAAGCCCCGGUAAACGGCGGCCGUAACUAUAACGGUCCUAAGGUAGCGAAAUUCCUUGUCGGGUAAGUUCCGACCUGCACGAAUGGCGUAAUGAUGGCCAGGCUGUCUCCACCCGAGACUCAGUGAAAUUGAACUCGCUGUGAAGAUGCAGUGUACCCGCGGCAAGACGGAAAGACCCCGUGAACCUUUACUAUAGCUUGACACUGAACAUUGAGCCUUGAUGUGUAGGAUAGGUGGGAGGCUUAGAAGUGUGGACGCCAGUCUGCAUGGAGCCGACCUUGAAAUACCACCCUUUAAUGUUUGAUGUUCUAACGUUGACCCGUAAUCCGGGUUGCGGACAGUGUCUGGUGGGUAGUUUGACUGGGGCGGUCUCCUCCUAAAGAGUAACGGAGGAGCACGAAGGUUGGCUAAUCCUGGUCGGACAUCAGGAGGUUAGUGCAAUGGCAUAAGCCAGCUUGACUGCGAGCGUGACGGCGCGAGCAGGUGCGAAAGCAGGUCAUAGUGAUCCGGUGGUUCUGAAUGGAAGGGCCAUCGCUCAACGGAUAAAAGGUACUCCGGGGAUAACAGGCUGAUACCGCCCAAGAGUUCAUAUCGACGGCGGUGUUUGGCACCUCGAUGUCGGCUCAUCACAUCCUGGGGCUGAAGUAGGUCCCAAGGGUAUGGCUGUUCGCCAUUUAAAGUGGUACGCGAGCUGGGUUUAGAACGUCGUGAGACAGUUCGGUCCCUAUCUGCCGUGGGCGCUGGAGAACUGAGGGGGGCUGCUCCUAGUACGAGAGGACCGGAGUGGACGCAUCACUGGUGUUCGGGUUGUCAUGCCAAUGGCACUGCCCGGUAGCUAAAUGCGGAAGAGAUAAGUGCUGAAAGCAUCUAAGCACGAAACUUGCCCCGAGAUGAGUUCUCCCUGACUCCUUGAGAGUCC
Molecule: ribosomal RNA, 2518 nt
Filed under: Escherichia coli
Lineage: Bacteria; Pseudomonadati; Pseudomonadota; Gammaproteobacteria; Enterobacterales; Enterobacteriaceae
Description: partial 23S ribosomal RNA
Rfam family: Bacterial large subunit ribosomal RNA
Source: RNAcentral